AGAGUUUGAUCCUGGCUCAGGAUGAACGCUGGCGGCGUGCCUAACACAUGCAAGUCGAACGGACUUAUAAUGAAACCUAGUGAAUUAUAAGUUAGUGGCGGACGGGUGAGUAACGCGUGGAAAACCUGCCGUAUACUGGGGGAUAACACUUAGAAAUAGGUGCUAAUACCGCAUAAGCGCACAGCUUCGCAUGAAGCAGUGUGAAAAACUCCGGUGGUAUACGAUGGUUCCGCGUCUGAUUAGCUAGUUGGUGAGGUAAAAGCCCACCAAGGCGACGAUCAGUAGCCGGCCUGAGAGGGUGAACGGCCACAUUGGGACUGAGACACGGCCCAGACUCCUACGGGAGGCAGCAGUGGGGGAUAUUGCACAAUGGGGGAAACCCUGAUGCAGCGACGCCGCGUGAGUGAAGAAGUAUUUCGGUACGUAAAGCUCUAUCAGCAGGGAAGAAAAAAAGUCCACAGGACUUUGGACGGUACCUGACUAAGAAGCCCCGGCUAACUACGUGCCAGCAGCCGCGGUAAUACGUAGGGGGCAAGCGUUAUCCGGAUUUACUGGGUGUAAAGGGAGCGUAGACGGCUGUGCAAGUCUGAAGUGAAAUGCCGGGGCCCAACCCCGGAACUGCUUUGGAAACUGUACAGCUAGAGUGCAGGAGGGGUGAGCGGAAUUCCUAGUGUAGCGGUGAAAUGCGUAGAUAUUAGGAGGAACACCGGCGGCGAAGGCGGCCUGCUGGACCGCGACUGACGUUGAGGCUCGAAAGCGUGGGGAGCCAACAAAAGUAGAUACCCUGGUAGUCCACGCCGUAAACGAUCACUACAAGGUGUCGGGGUCACGACAGUGCCCCCGUGGCCGGGCGCAAACGCAAUAAAUAGUCCGCCUGGGGAGUACGUCCGCAAGGAUGAAACUCAAAGGAAUUGACGGGGACCCGCACAAGCGGUGGCGCAUGUGGUUUAAUUCGGAGCAACGGGAAGCACCUUCCCAGGUCUUGACAUCUUUUGACAAUCCUAGAGAUAGGACUUUCCCUUCGGGGACAAAAUCACAGGUGGUGCAUGGUUGUCGUCAGCUCGUGUCGUGAGAUGUUGGGUUAAGUCCCGCAACGAGCGCAACCCUUAUUGUUAGUUGCCAGCAUUAAGUUGGGCACUCUAGCAAGACUGCCGGUGACAAACCGGAGGAAGGUGGGGAUGACGUCAAAUCAUCAUGCCCCUUAUGACCUGGGCUACACACGUGCUACAAUGGACGGUACAACGAGUCGCAAGCUCGCGAGAGUAAGCUAAUCUCUUAAAGCCGUUCUCAGUUCGGACUGUAGGCUGCAACUCGCCUACACGAAGUCGGAAUCGCUAGUAAUCGCGGAUCAGCAUGCCGCGGUGAAUAGGUUCCCGGGCCUUGCACUCACCGCCCGUCA
RNAcentral lists this ribosomal RNA (1399 nucleotides) under uncultured bacterium. RNAcentral describes it as "bacterial SSU rRNA". It matches the Rfam family "Bacterial small subunit ribosomal RNA". The record is from RNAcentral.